This 580-nucleotide ribosomal RNA is filed under the name uncultured bacterium. Its description in RNAcentral is "bacterial SSU rRNA". It matches the Rfam family "Bacterial small subunit ribosomal RNA", at positions 90 to 705 of the family's 1533-position model. The record is from RNAcentral.
GGGGAGCGGCAGACGGGUGAGUAACGCGUGGGAACGUACCUUUUGCUACGGAAUAACUCAGGGAAACUUGUGCUAAUACCGUAUGUGCCCUUCGGGGGAAAGAUUUAUCGGCAAAGGAUCGGCCCGCGUUGGAUUAGCUAGUUGGUGAGGUAAAGGCUCACCAAGGCGACGAUCCAUAGCUGGUCUGAGAGGAUGAUCAGCCACACUGGGACUGAGACACGGCCCAGACUCCUACGGGAGGCAGCAGUGGGGAAUAUUGGACAAUGGGCGCAAGCCUGAUCCAGCCAUGCCGCGUGAGUGAUGAAGGCCCUAGGGUUGUAAAGCUCUUUCACCGGUGAAGAUAAUGACGGUAACCGGAGAAGAAGCCCCGGCUAACUUCGUGCCAGCAGCCGCGGUAAUACGAAGGGGGCUAGCGUUGUUCGGAUUUACUGGGCGUAAAGCGCACGUAGGCGGACUUUUAAGUCAGGGGUGAAAUCCCGGGGCUCAACCCCGGAACUGCCUUUGAUACUGGAAGUCUUGAGUAUGGUAGAGGUGAGUGGAAUUCCGAGUGUAGAGGUGAAAUUCGUAGAUAUUCGGAGGA